Megalobrama amblycephala (Wuchang bream) is the source of this 577-nucleotide non-coding RNA. The record is from the annotation of a RefSeq genome assembly. Lineage: Eukaryota; Metazoa; Chordata; Actinopteri; Cypriniformes; Xenocyprididae.
GCAAGAAAAUAAGAAAUAAAAAACAAUAGCCUGAAAGUCAGAGAGGCAGACAUGGUUACAGAGGUUAAUAAGGGCACAGAAAAUGUAAAUGUACCUUUAGAGGGCAGUCUAUGCAAACCUACUUCUCCUAGUUCCCUUUAAAAAAAAGUCCAAAUCUGUUUAUCUCCAUACAUCUGUUUUGACUGUUGCAGCAGGUUCCUCCUUUCAUAACAUGAACAUGAAUAUUUGGCAUUUCAUCUGUAUGGUGAUUGUAUCUCAAAAAGGUAUCAGUGGUGAUGAAAUCCGAUUAGAUCAGUCUCCUGCUGUGAUGAAGAGACCUGGAGAAACAGUUAAGAUCUCCUGUAAAAUAUCUGGUUUUACGAUGACAGACUACUACAUGCACUGGAUCAGACAGAAGCCAGGGAAAGCUCUGGAGUGGAUUGGGAGAGUAAACACUGGUAGUGUUGAUUAUGCAGAUACAAUGGAAAACCACUUCACACUGAGUGAGGAUGUGUCUCAAAGUACACAGUAUCUUGAAGCCAAGAGUCUGAGAGAAGAGGACACUGCUGUUUAUUACUGUGCUCGAGAGUCACAGUGA